GGUUCUCCACGAGUGGUGAAGAUCUGUACAGUCAGCGAUCAGAGCAGCAAGGAUGUAAACCUGUAAUCAAGUUUAUGGUGGUAUCUGAGGAGGUUACUGUAUCAUGUGAGGUGGCUUCUAUAAGUUUAUGUGCGGAACCGUUGUAAGGAAUGGCUUUGGUCAGGUACAAACUAAUAGUAUUGUGGUCGAAGUCCUGUGGGAUAGUUGUG
Pelobates cultripes (western spadefoot toad) is the source of this 209-nucleotide non-coding RNA. The record is from the annotation of a GenBank genome assembly. NCBI's taxonomy places the organism in Eukaryota, Metazoa, Chordata, Amphibia, Anura, Pelobatidae.